Long non-coding RNA from Caretta caretta (loggerhead turtle), 3794 nucleotides. RefSeq lists it as uncharacterized. The record is from RefSeq and is a predicted model, not a curated record. NCBI's taxonomy places the organism in Eukaryota, Metazoa, Chordata, Testudines, Cheloniidae.
AUUUGAGUCCCACAAAGCCUAAUUUUAGAAACAUUAGAUAUGGUUUGAGGUCAGAAUUUUGUAGCUCAGGCCAGUGUCUAAUUGUGUCUAACUUUAUGGAUUCAGAAUUCCUGGAAUUUCUUCCACUUGCAGUCUAUGUACUGACCCAAUUAGUGGAGUGGGCAAAAUGUUUUGCAUGUAACACAAAACUUAAAAAAUAAAAUUACUUCUUGCUGGAGCAAUUUUGCAAGCUUUUGCCAAAAGUAAACUACUGAUGUUCACUUCAAUAUUAUAUUAAUUGUACUGAUUAAUUAUUGUCAUACUGUUACAACAUUUUGUUCAUCUGACCAAUGUUCUAUGGAAAACUACUGUUGGUACAUAUGGACAUUUUGGCAGCUCUGAAAAAGGUAAAACAGAGUAAAAGUGUUAAUUCUUAUACAGCUUCCACAGGGCCUGAUUCAUUUAACUCAGUGUAAAUGCAAACUCCAGUUACUCCCCAUUUAUACUGGUAUAGCUGAGGCCAGUCAUGAUCAUAAUGACAUAGCUAGAAUCUCCGUCUUUACAAGGGUGAGGGUUAGAGUUUAUUUUGAUGUGCAGGUAGUUGUACUAAUGCAAGCUAUCCAUGUAAAUCCUUGUGAAUAUACGUUCCCUCCAUGUACAAAUCUGGAAUCUACCUGUGAUUGUCAUGGAUGAACAGCCUUAGGGCUUAGUUCUCUACUUACCCUUGUUUUAUUCUGUAGUAGCUCCACUGACUCUAAUGGAGUUAAAAUACUCCUGAUUUACACCAGUGUAAAUUAAAGGAUAAAUGGUCUUAGGGAAGCUUCUAGCUGAUUGACCUCAGUCCAGGUGCCAUUAGCAGACACAUUUAGGCUAUGUCUACACUACACAGCUUUUAGCAACAGGGCUGUGUCACUGAAGCCGUGUCGCUAAAUGGCACACAGUGUAGCCGCUGUUUGUCACUCUCCUGCCGACAAAAAACUUCCAUCCCCAAUGAGAGUGCUCCUGCUGACAAAGAGCUGUUCACACUGGUGCUUUUUGUCAGCAAAACUUUUGUCUUUCUGGAGGUGGAGGUAUUUAAAACCUCUGAAAGACAAAAGUUUUGUUGUUCAGUUGCCAGUGUAGACAUAGCCUCAACUUAUAAAAGUCACACAGAAAUCCUAAAUUAUAUUUUAUUUUAGCUUCUACCUGCAUCUUCAUGGAUUCUAGCUACACCACGUCCAUGUGUGUUGUGGAAAACUAUUAGUCAAAAGAGAUCAAAAAAUGCUUGAGGCUUUACACCUCUACCAGGCCUGUAUGAUCUCUAGUUAUAUUGUCUACACUAUGUCAUUAUUUACAUGUCAGAGAAUAAAGCCAGCGUCUCCCUUAGGGUAAUAUAUUGUAACAAGUUUCUGAGGUUUGCCUAUACAGAGACCAGGCUUGGUUUCAUGAGGUUUUUACAAAGUAUACUCUAAAUCCCCUGAGCAGUUUGCAAAACAUUGUUAUUUUUUGUUAAAAGUAACAAGUAUAUAUAUUAUCCAGAAUUGUUCCUUGUCAUGUCACCACUCACAUCUGCAAACCUUACAGAGCAGGAAUUGUCUGUAAAAUUAAAUUUUAAUCUAUAAUUUUCACAAAUGAGAAGAUGGUUUCCUGUUCAGGCCAGUUCAGAAUCUAUUAUGAAAGGAAAUAUUGUUCCUGGUUUAUACUCUCAGAUUUAUUUAAACCUGGCAAUUCUACAUAGUGACAUAACUUCACAUAAAGUGAUUUCUCAGCAUUACAGGAGUUGGCUUAAAUCACGAUAUUAAGAAAACACUUUGAAUAGCUUGGUAAUAAUGAACCAACAAGUUUUCCAGAAUGUCAUUUAGAAGAAGUUAAAUAAAAAUGGAGACUAUUUAUCAUUUUAUAAUAAUGCUUUGCACUUAUAUUGUUCUUUACAUCUUCUUCCCUGUAAUUUUUAAUUAUUUUACCAUAUCUGUGUACAUUUCAUGUGUAAGAUGAAUGUGACAAACUAUUGAAUGCCCAUUAAAAUAUGUCAUGAACUCCCUUAAGUAAGCCUUUAGAAAUGGUCACUGAAAUACUGUUCAACAACAUUUUUUCCUCUGUGUAAAAGCUCCGAAGCUUGUCUCUCUCACCAGUAAAAGUUGGUCCAAUACAAGAUAUUAUCUCACCCACCUUUUCUCUUGGCUAUCUCAGAGGAGGUCAGUUUAGGAUGGAACCAGAAGGUCUCUGGGAUAGCUACCACUGACGGAUACUUAAGAAAAAGCUUUCUUAACCAAGCAAAAUAAUUAUUCUUUUCUCUGUCUCCAUGUUUCCAAAUAUAGUGAAGUAUUUUUUCUCCCCACAAAGCAGUUUUGCUAUAAGAGGUUCCUUCACUAAAACUGGAAUUGCAGUUUUGCAAGCUGCAGUGCUUUGAAAGGAUGUGACCUUUCCUUCUUCAUUCUUAACUCAAUUUCAUUGUCACCAAAUUUAUGACAGUGGGUUCUGCUACAUAAACCUUUAUUAUACACCGCAUGCAAUAAACGUACACAUGCAAGGAAAGUUUGUCUCUAUUUUUUCUUCCUUCUCUUAUUUCGAUUAUCAAAUGAAAUAAAUGAAAAUCGAAGACAAAAAACUGAGACGAAAUAUUCUCGGAGCAAAAUGAAAACAUUCUUGUUAUUCAAUAAUGUUUGUCUUAACAUCCUCUGUAAUCACAUAGCAAACAUCAGUGGAAUGAGGUUAGUGUACUUAAAAAACUGAAAUCAGGCAUAACUCUACCCUGAUUUUGAGCAUGAAGAAACAAGCGUAGCCAUUCAGCACUGCUCUCUCCCAGGAAAAGAGACUUGUUUUUAAAAUAAAUCAUGUUCUUGUUAAGGCAGUUUGAUCACCAUUAAUUAAGGUGAAAUAGUUAAAACUGUACAGGCUUUUAGGAAGGAAAAGCGUACAGUCCAUUCAGAUUAUUGUCAGACAGCAAAACGGAUCAUUUCAGGGUAGCUAGUAGCUGGUGCUUUCAGCCAAAUUCAUGUUCCAUUGAAAUCACCUCGCAGUGAAAUGAAGCAAUUUACGCUCAUGCAGUAAGGUUGGCAGAUGUCUUGAGCGUGUGUAGUAACGGAGAGAAGACGGUACAGGGGAAAGUCUUUGACUUUUGUCUUCCUGUUUUUCAGCAUACCAAUCGGAUUCCACUAAUACUAACUCAGCCCGAACUGCAUUGAACUCACCAUCAGCCUCAACAGAGACGAUCUGGAGGAGGAAACAGACAGAUCCCAUGUACUGGACAAAGCUGCAAAUGUUUCUAUGCUCCACUAUCAUCUCCGUCCCAGAGGCUAGUGCAGAUUAGAAGGCGAUAAAAAUGCACUUGUGAUGACAUGUUCUCAUAGCUCAUGCAGUCCUUCCACACUGAAAGAGCUCAGCAGAAUGCAUGGAGGCAAACAAUGGCAGAGUCCAAAAAAGCAUUACUGAACACGAUGAGAGGAGGGAGGAACAUGCUGAGAGGAGGAAGGAUGCAGUGCUGAGCCUAAUGGGGGAGCAAACUGACAUGCUCUGGAGUCUGGUGGAGCUGCAGGAAAAGCAGCAGGAGCACAGACCACCGCUGCAGCCCCCGAAUAACGUCUGUCCUCCUCUCCAAGUUCCAUAUCCUUUUCACCCAGACACCCAAGAACGCGGUGGGAGGCUACGGGCACCCAGCCACUCCACCCCAGAGGAUUGCCCAAGCAACAGAAGGCUGGUAUUCAAUAAGUUUUGAAUUGUAGUGUGACAUUGUCCUUCCCUCCUCCCCUCAUCCACCACCCCACCCGGUGCUUCCCUCCUCAUGCACCCCUCCUGGGCUACCUUGCAAGUUUUCCCCCUAUUUGUGUGAUGAAAUA